GAGAUAGCUGGUUCUCCCCGAAAUAGCUUUAGGGCUAGCGUCGGAAUGAACCCAUGUGAAGGUAGAGCACUGAAUGUGUGAUGGCCCCAUCCCGGGGUACUGAAUACAAUCAAACUCCGAAUGUCAUGUGGGAUGUCCGGCAGUCAGACUGUGAGUGAUAAGGUCCAUGGUCGAGAGGGAAACAGCCCAGACCGCCAGUUAAGGUCCCAAAAUGCAGGCUAAGUGGAAAAGGAUGUGGGGAUGCCCAGACAACUAGGAGGUUGGCUCAGAAGCAGCCACCCUUUAAAGAGUGCGUAACAGCUCACUAGUCGAGUGACCCUGCGCCGAAAAUGUACCGGGGCUAAGCCUGAUACCGAAACUGCGGAAUCGAAUGAUUGGUAGGGGAGCGUUGUAUACGGGUGGAAGCCGUACCGUGAGGAGCGGUGGACUGUAUAGAAGUGAGAAUGCCGGUGUGAGUAGCGAGAUGUAGGUGAGAAUCCUACACACCGAAAGCCCAAGGAUUCCAGGGGAAGGUUCGUCCGCCCUGGGUAAGUCGGGACCUAACGCGAGGCCGAAAGGCGUAGUGGAUGGAAAGCAGGCGGAGAUUCCUGCACCCGUAUGUGGAGCGAUGGAGUGACGGAGACGGCUAAUGUGACCCUCUUAACGGAUUGAGGGCGAAGCGGGGUAGCGGUCGACCAGGCAAAUCCGGUCGGCAAAACGCGAAGACGUGACAGGGAAGCGAACGCUUUGGCAAGUAGCGAAGCACAUGAGGCCGGCUUCCAAGAAAAGCUUCUGGCAAUGCACAUGCGGCCCGUACCACAAACCGACACAGGUGGGCAGGUAGAGGAUACCAAGGUGAGCGAGAGAACUGUUGCCAAGGAACUCGGCAAAAUGGCUCCGUACGUUCGCAAGAAGGAGCGCUUAUGAAAAUAAGCCGCAGUGAAUAGGCCCAAGCGACUGUUUAACUAAAACACAGCUCUCUGCGAAGUCGCAAGACGAAGUAUAGGGGGUGACACCUGCCCGGUGCCGGAAGGUUAAGAGGAUCUGUCAAUCGCAAGAUGAAGCAGUGAAUUGAAGCCCCGGUGAACGGCGGCCGUAACUAUAACGGUCCUAAGGUAGCGAAAUUCCUUGUCAGGUAAGUUCUGACCCGCACGAAAGGUGUAACGAUUUGGGCGCUGUCUCGGCAGCAGGCUCGGUGAAAUCUUAGUACCUGUGAAAAUGCAGGUUACCCGCAACUAGACGGAAAGACCCCAUGGAGCUUUACUGUAGCCUGGUAUUGGAUUUUGGUCAGACAUGUACAGGAUAGGUGGGAGACUGUGAGACGUGCACGCCAGUGUACGAGGAGUCGCCGUUGGGAUACCACUCUUGUGUGAUCGGAGUUCUAACCUGGUGGCCUGAACCGGCCAUAGGGAGAGUGCCAGGUGGGCAGUUUGACUGGGGCGGUCGCCUCCCAAAGAGUAACGGAGGCGCCCAAAGGUACGCUCAGAUUGGAUGGAAACCAAUCGCCGAGUGCAAAUGCAGAAGCGUGCUUGACUGUGAGAGCAACAACUCGAACAGGGACGAAAGUCGGGAUUAGUGAUCCGGCGGUGCCGAAUGGAAG
This 1579-nucleotide ribosomal RNA is filed under the name human gut metagenome. RNAcentral describes it as "bacterial LSU rRNA". It matches the Rfam family "Bacterial large subunit ribosomal RNA", at positions 842 to 2439 of the family's 2925-position model. The record is from RNAcentral.